GGUUAGAAAGCGUUGAGGGUUAGUAGAGUUGAGGGUUUAGGUAGGGUUUGGGGUUAGGUAGGGUUUAGGGUUAGAUAGGGUUUAGGGUUAGGUAGGGUUUAGGGUUAGGUAGGGUUUAGGGUUAGAAAGGGUUUAGGGUUAGUAGGGUUUAGGGUUAGAAAGGGUUUAGGGUUAGGUAGGGUUUAAGGUUAGAAAGGGUUUAGGGUUAGGUAGGGUUUAAGGUUAGGCAGGGUUUAGGGUUAGAAAGGGUUUAGAAGUAGGGUUUAAGGUAAAAAAGGGUUUAGGGUUUAGGGUUAGUAGGGUUUAGGGUUAGGUAGGAUUUAGGGUUAGUAGGGUUUAGGGUUAGGUAGGGUUUAGAUAGGUAGGGUUUAGGGUUAGUUAGGGUUUAGGGUUAGAAAUGGUUUAGGAUUUAGAGUUAGUAGGAUUUAGGGCUAGAAAGAGUUUAGAGUUAGAAAGGGUUUAGGGUUAGGUAGGGUGUAGGGUUAGAAAGGGUUUAGGGUUUAGGUAGGGUUUAGGGUUAGGUAGGGUUUAGGGUUUAGGGUUAGAAAGGGUUUAGUGUUAGGUAGGGUUUAGGGUUUAGGUAAGGUUUAGGGUUAUGUAGGGUUUAGGGUUUAGGUAGGAUUUAGGGUUUAGUUAGGGUUUAGGGUUAGAAAGGGUUUAGGGUUAGGUAGGGUUUAGAGUUUAGGUAGGGUUUAAGGUUAGGUAGGGUUUAGGGUUAGAAAGGGUUUAGAGUUAGUAAUGGUUUAGGGCUAGGUAGGUUUUAGGGUUAGAAAGGGUUUAGGGCUAGGUAGGUUUUAGGGUUAGAAAGGGUUUAGAGUUAGGUAGGGUUUAGGAUUAGAAAGGAUUUAGGGUUAGAAAGGGUUGAGGGUUAAUAGGGUUUAGGGUUUAGGUAGGGUUUGGGGUUAGGUAGGGUUUAGGGUUAGAAAGGGUUUAGGGUUAGUAGGGUUUAGGGUUAGGUAGGGUUUAGGGUUAGGUAGAGUUUAGGGUUAGAAAGGGUUUAGGGUUAGUAGGGUUUAGGGUUUGGUAUGGUUUAGGGUUAGAAAGGGUUUAGGGUUAGGUAGGGUUUAGGGUUAGAAAGGGUUCAGGGUUAGUAGGGUUUAGGGUUUGGUAGGGUUUAGGGUUAGGUUUAGGUAGGGUUUAGGGUUAGGUUUUAGGGUUAGGUAGGGUUUAGGAUUAAAUAGGGUUUAGGGUUAGGUAGGGUUUACGUUUAGGGUUAGGUAGGUUUACGGUUAGAUAGGGUUAGGGUUUAGGUCGUAGGAAGGGUUUAGGGAUUAGGGUUAGCUUUAUGUAGGGUUUAGGGUUAGAUAGGGUUAAGGUCUAGGUUUAGGUAAGGUUUAGGGUUUGGUAGGAUUUAGGGUUUAGAUAGUAGAAAAGGUUUAGCGUUUAGUUUAGGUUGGGUUUAAGGUUUGGUUUAGAAUAAUGUUUAGGAUUAUAGGGUUUAUGGUUUGUUUGUUUUUUUGUUUAUGCAUUUAGUGCUGAAUUUUUUGGAUAAAAUUUUAUAUUAAUAUUAUUGAUUCAUAAUUUUUCUUAAAAUGUUAAAAAUUUUAACGUGAUUUUUAAUGUUCUUAUAACAAAUGAUGUAUUUUUUAUUAAGUUUUUUGUGAAAAUAAGUUGAAUAUAUCUU
This 1624-nucleotide long non-coding RNA is filed under the name Brassica rapa (field mustard). RNAcentral's name for it is "long non-coding RNA (BRAP_LNC000639)". The record is from RNAcentral. Lineage: Eukaryota; Viridiplantae; Streptophyta; Magnoliopsida; Brassicales; Brassicaceae.